This 253-nucleotide ribosomal RNA is filed under the name uncultured bacterium. RNAcentral's name for it is "partial 16S ribosomal RNA". It matches the Rfam family "Bacterial small subunit ribosomal RNA", at positions 524 to 776 of the family's 1533-position model. The record is from RNAcentral.
UACGGGGGGGGCAAGCGUUGUUCGGAAUUACUGGGCGUAAAGGGCUCGUAGGCGGCCAACUAAGUCAUACGUGAAAUCCCUCGGCUUAACCGGGGAACUGCGUCUGAUACUGGAUGGCUUGAGAUUGGGAGAGGGAUGCGGAAUUCCAGGUGCAGCGGUGAAAUGCGUAGAUAUCUGGAGGAACACCGGUGGCGAAGGCGGCAUCCUGGACCAACACUGACGCUGAGGAGCGAAAGCCAGGGGAGCAAACGGG